Molecule: ribosomal RNA, 583 nt
Filed under: uncultured bacterium
Lineage: Bacteria
Description: bacterial SSU rRNA
Rfam family: Bacterial small subunit ribosomal RNA
Source: RNAcentral
CGGGCGUAGCAAUACGUCAGCGGCAGACGGGUGAGUAACGCGUGGGAACAUACCUCUUGGUUCGGAACAACACAGGGAAACUUGUGCUAAUACCGGAUAAGCCCUUACGGGGAAAGAUUUAUCGCCGAGAGAUUGGCCCGCGUCUGAUUAGCUUGUUGGUGAGGUAACGGCUCACCAAGGCGACGAUCAGUAGCUGGUCUGAGAGGAUGAUCAGCCACAUUGGGACUGAGACACGGCCCAAACUCCUACAGGAGGCAGCAGUGGGGAAUAUUGGACAAUGGGCGCAAGCCUGAUCCAGCCAUGCCGCGUGAGUGAUGAAGGCCCUAGGGUUGUAAAGCUCUUUUGUCCGGGAAGAUAAUGACUGUACCGGAAGAAUAAGCCCCGGCUAACUUCGUGCCAGCAGCCGCGGUAAUACGAAGGGGGCUAGCGUUGCUCGGAAUCACUGGGCGUAAAGGGUGCGUAGGUGGAUUUUUAAGUCAGGGGUGAAAUCCUGGAGCUCAACUCCAGAACCGCCUUUGAUACUGAGAGUCUUGAGUUCGGGAGAGGUGAGUGGAACUGCGAGUGUAGAGGUGAAAUUCGUAGA